This 830-nucleotide ribosomal RNA is filed under the name uncultured bacterium. Its description in RNAcentral is "bacterial SSU rRNA". It matches the Rfam family "Bacterial small subunit ribosomal RNA", at positions 28 to 860 of the family's 1533-position model. The record is from RNAcentral.
GAUGACGCUGGCGGCGUGCCUAACACAUGCAAGUCGAGCGCGAUUAGUUGGAACGGCGACUUCGGUCAAAGGGAAGACUAUGAAAGCGGCGGACGGGUGAGUAACGCGUGAGCAACCUGCCCUGUACAGGGGGAUAGCCACUGGAAACGGUGAUUAAUACCCCAUAACCCCAUUGGAUCGCAUGGUCUGAUGGGCCAAGCCUUGGCGGUACAGGAUGGGCUCGCGUCUGAUUAGCUAGUUGGUGAGGUAAYGGCUCACCAAGGCUUCGAUCAGUAGCCGACCUGAGAGGGUGAACGGCCACACUGGAACUGAGACACGGUCCAGACUCCUACGGGAGGCAGCAGUGGGGAAUAUUGCACAAUGGGCGCAAGCCUGAUGCAGCAACGCCGCGUGAGUGAAGAAGGCCUUCGGGUCGUAAAACUCUGUCCUAAGGGAAGAAGAAGUGACGGUACCUUAGGAGGAAGCCCCGGCUAACUACGUGCCAGCAGCCGCGGUAAUACGUAAGGGGCAAGCGUUAUCCGGAAUCACUGGGCGUAAAGGGUGCGUAGGCGGCUGAUCAAGCCAGGGGUGAAAGGCCGUGGCUUAACCAUGGUAAGCCUUUGGAACUGGUCAGCUUGAGUGCAGGAGAGGAAAGCGGAAUUCCUAGUGUAGCGGUGAAAUGCGUAGAUAUUAGGAGGAACACCCGUGGCGAAGGCGGCUUUCUGGACUGUAACUGACGCUGAGGCACGAAAGCGUGGGGAGCAAACAGGAUUAGAUACCCUGGUAGUCCACGCUGUAAACGAUGAAUACUAGGUGUCGGGGGUCAAAGCCCGGUGCCGCAGCUAACGCAU